RNAcentral lists this unclassified non-coding RNA (3114 nucleotides) under Hevea brasiliensis (rubber tree). Lineage: Eukaryota; Viridiplantae; Streptophyta; Magnoliopsida; Malpighiales; Euphorbiaceae. The record is from RNAcentral.
AAGAGAAGGGUACGAAUUCCGCGUGUCCAAGCACCAGAAAGUGAAUUAACAACCGCAUUUCAAAUUCCCUCUCCUACAGGUUAAAACGAAUCUAUUUCCUAGUUGCUCAUCUCACAUCCAGUAUUGCCUCCUCCCAACUGCCAAACCAUACCCAAAUCUCUAUCUCUCUCUUGGUUAGGGUUUUUGCAAUCCAAUCCGAGAGUAAAUAAAUCAAGAGUUCAUGGGAUGCAAAUAAUUACGGUCUCUAAUAGGUCCUAAUGUUGAGCUCUUCUUGCUCUCAAUCUCUAUACCAGCGAUGCCCAAUUCUUCUCUCCUCCAUUUCUAGACUCAGGGUUAUUAACAGACCUGGGAAUUUUCCUCUUUCGACCCCGUAUGCUCAGAUCUUCGAAUCGCGUUCCAAAUUAUCAAAAAAUGUAAGUAUCACUUCAAUUGCAGUUUUUCCCUUCCUUUUCAAUACAAUAGAAAUUUAAGUCUACUUUGGUUGCUCGGAAAAUGUAAGGAAUAUUAGAACCUCAGAAAUUAGAAGCUUUUCAACUGCCUCCAACCGAGCUAAUCUUGAAGCAGUUGAUGCAGAUGAUUUCCCAUUACAUUCUCACUUUUUUGUCAGAAGCCUGAUACUUUAGCAAAUUUAAGAUUAUUAUUGAUUUGGUUGAUCAUCUGUGUGAUUGAUAUAAGUAAACUAGUAAUUUGUUUAGUAUUUGGUUUUUAAUUGUUCACUUGAUUAUUUUGCAGAAAUGGAAAAUUUCAUGUUUUAGACAUGAGGAUUUUUCUCCCGUAAAUCCCAAGUCUGAUGGUGUUGAACACUGUCUGCCUGAGAAACUGGUGAAGAAGCCCGAACUCAGUAAUCCAACUGAUGUUAAAAAGGAUUGGAUAUCAAAUCUUCGAGAGGUAUGUUUCUCCUUUGGGUUCAAUUUUGUGGUAUAACUUGUUUUGGAGCUGCAGAAACUUAUUAUCAAGUUAACCAAUAACUGCAAUUCCAAUUCCAUGUGAAGAUAUUCUCCAAGUAGAGAAUAAACUUUUGAAUGAUGUUAGGUUUAAGGUCGUAACUUGGUCAACUUUAAUCCUUUUUCUUGUACGUUGAGUGCUUUGUCCUGGUAUUCAAAUGAAGGUGUUGGAACUUGGAAGCUUUACCUUGUGGAGUUAUAGGAUGAAAUUUAAUACUUAACAUGGUUUAAGACCACUGAAGAUCACACCUUCCUUCUUUGGACAUGCAAAGUGUGUGGAGCUAAUGUGGAGUGUUCCAGAGAAUUCAUAAAUACUGUAUGAUGUCCUGCAGAAUUCAGAUGUACUGCUUCUGCUUCUGCUUGUUACAAGUUUAAUUUUUCAACAUGUUGCUAGGAACUAUUGGUUUUUCCACUGUGAUGAUUAAUUAGAUUUAAACUAGUUGAUUAAUAUUUCCUAACUUUGUUGAAGAACUUUAUGCCAUGCUAUCUGUUGUUUAAUGGAUUUUCCUUGGCAAGUUGGCAUUUGCUUUGUAGGUGACUCUUUUGGGCAUCUCAUAGUUUAGUUUGCUAUGUUUCAGGCUGCAGAUGUUGUGUUCCGGGCAAUGGGGAGCCGAUGGACUGUACCCUGGACAGCGGAGACCAUAAUGCAGGUAAGCUUUGUCCACAUGGUUACUAUAUGUUGGGAAAUGUGGUAAAUAAGAACUAGAUAGUAAUCUUUGUAUUCUCAUGGAUUUUUUUUUUCAAUAAUUAUUUGCUUAUUGCUAUCUAAAUAAUUUUCAUUGACCAUUCAAAGUUAACUAAGAUUCUGAUUUUUUUUGUUGGAAAUGAAAUAACUUAAUUGAACCUGUACAAAUGAACUUUCUGUGAAAACCAAUAUUUACUCCUUUUUUGUAGACUAGUCAAUUUUAGCAUGAGUGGUCCCACUUGCUCUGUAAGUUGAAUUGUUCUAUUUAAUGAUUGGAUACAAAGCCAGCAACCAAACUAUAUAUGGUGCUGCAGGUGAUGCUUCUCUGGGUUGUCUCAUUCUGGUUUAUAGGUUCCUGGGUGAUUCCUUUUGCGGCCCACAUGGCAGGUGUCAGCAAGGAAUCUCUUACAUUUAGAGGACAGGCCUUGUUCAGCCUUGUGACUGAUGUAACUGAAGGCAUUGCUGGAAUUGCAAUCCUCCAUCGCUGCUUGUCUCGGUUUCAUCCCCUUCCAUCUGAUUGGUUUAGGUUUAGCCUGAAAGGUAACUGGCUAUUUGAUGUUGCUCUUGGAUGCUUCAUGUUUCCCUUGGUCAACCGGCUUUCACAGUUCAACCUUAGCCUAUUGCCUAUUCUACCUUCUACGCCUGUUACAAUGUCAAGUGUUGAGCAGUCAAUUGCAGCAAGGGAUCCAGUGGCAAUGGUGCUGUAUGCGAUAGUAGUUUCAGUGUGUGCCCCUGUGUGGGAGGAGAUAGUCUUUCGGGGUUUCCUUCUUCCUUCCUUAACCAGGUACAUGCCUGUAUGGUGUGCAAUCCUGGUGAGUUCAGUUGCCUUUGCUCUAGCACAUUUCAAUGUACAGAGAAUGCUUCCACUUAUUUUUCUCGGGCUGGUGAUGGGUGUUAUUUUUACAAGGUCAAGGAAUUUAAUGCCGUCUAUGCUUUUGCAUAGCCUCUGGAAUGGCUUUGUGUUCUUAGAUUUAAUGAGAUAACUUAUUAGCCUUGUAUUUCACAUAUAGAUGAUGAAUCGGUCGAUCCUAUCUCAGACGUGUAUAUGUGGACUAAUAUUGUGGGCUAUGCUCUUUUCAAAGAUGUUGAACGCCAGCGCCCUGAUAAGGCCUACUGCUUUGCAAUGUUGAAUUGUUGAUUGACACUCAUCUUCAGAAUGCUUUGUCGGUCCAGCGAACAGAAUGCAAAUAGUAUUGACAGAGAUUGAUAGGCCAAUCUAUAAUUUGUCCACUUAAAGAAUCAGUCCAGUACAUCUUUCGUGUCUGUAAUUAUACCAGAGACAAAGGGGAACAAGGACCCUUUGGCCCGCAGAGGCUUGCUUGUCAACAUUGUACAACUCUCAACUCACUAAAUGAGUACUCUAUUUUUCCUGUAAUAUAUUUAUAAUCAUUCUACAAGAAUCUAGAAAAGAAAAGGGCUCUAUUUUGUGUUAUAAUAAAUUUUUUGUGCAUACAUUAAUUUUAUGGCAUAAUUUUUUCUUUGUAU